This 508-nucleotide ribosomal RNA is filed under the name uncultured bacterium. RNAcentral describes it as "partial 16S ribosomal RNA". It matches the Rfam family "Bacterial small subunit ribosomal RNA", at positions 28 to 523 of the family's 1533-position model. The record is from RNAcentral.
GAUGAACGCUAGCUACAGGCUUAACACAUGCAAGUCGAGGGGAAACGAUAUUGGAAGCUUGCUUCCGAUAGGCGUCGACCGGCGCACGGGUGAGUAACGCGUAUCCAACCUGCCCACCACUUGGGGAUAACCUUGCGAAAGUAAGACUAAUACCCAAUGAUAUCUCUGGAAGACAUCUGAAGGAGAUUAAAGAUUCAUCGGUGAUGGAUGGGGAUGCGUCUGAUUAGCUUGUUGGCGGGGUAACGGCCCACCAAGGCGACGAUCAGUAGGGGUGCUGAGAAGAAGGUCCCCCACAUUGGAACUGAGCCCCGGUCCAAACUCCUACGGGAAGCAGCAGUGAGGAAUAUUGGUCAAUGGGCGAGAGCCUGAACCAGCCAAGUAGCGUGCAGGAUGACGGCCCUAUGGGUUGUAAACUGCUUUUAUAAGGGAAUAAAGUGAGUCUCGUGAGACUUUUUGCAUGUACCUUAUGAAUAAGGACCGGCUAAUUCCGUGCCAGCCGCCGCCGUAA